AUGGAGAAGGCAACGAAGAAGGCAGCGAAGAAGGUAGACAACACAGACAAGGCAAUUUGGGAUGCAUACCAUACUAGGGUAUUUUGCGAGUUGUGUGCGAGGGAAGUUCAAGCAGGCAAUAGGCCAGGGGAAUUCUUGAGUCCUAGAGGAUAUAAGAAUUUGGGGGAGAGCUGGUUGUAGAUAACUAAGAAAAGUUAUGUGAGGAUGCAAUUCAAGAAUAGAUGGGAAAAUCUCAAAACUAUGUAUUGUCAAUGGAAACAACUGCAAAUUGACGCAUCUGGACUUGGAUGGAAUGCUAAGCUAGGAACCAUUGAUGCUGAUACUGAUUGGUGGAACACUCACCUAAUAAAAAACCCGGAGCAUGCAAAGUAUAGGAAUGGAGGACCACCUAACUUGGCUGAAAUGGACCUCAUGUUUGAUGACCAUCAUGUCACCGGUGCCGAGUCAGCUAUCCCCGGUGAGAUACCAUUGGACAAGGAGGAUGUUAGUGAUGACACUAAUAGUGCAGAGGAUGAUGAUGAAGUCAUCAAAGCAAAACCAAAGAAGCAGCGAAAGACCAAGUCCUGUAAAGAUGAUUUUUCUGCUCAAGAUGAGAAGAACCCAUUUGUUUGGAUGUACAAGAAGGCUAGUAAUGCGAUAUGUGUAACGACUGAAAGUAUAAAAGAAGCAUCUAGCUCCAGCAUGGCCCGUCCUCCCCCUCCUCUGGUUGCUCCUCCCCCUUCCUAG
This 726-nucleotide ribosomal RNA is filed under the name Triticum aestivum (bread wheat). RNAcentral's name for it is "partial small subunit ribosomal RNA". The record is from RNAcentral. Lineage: Eukaryota; Viridiplantae; Streptophyta; Magnoliopsida; Poales; Poaceae.